CCUACGGGUGGCAGCAGUGAGGAAUAUUGGUCAAUGGUCGGGAGACUGAACCAGCCAAGCCGCGUGAGGGAUGAAGGUACAGAGUAUCGUAAACCUCUUUUGUCAGGGAACAAAGGCGGGGACGCGUCCCCGGAUGAGUGUACCUGAAGAAAAAGCAUCGGCUAACUCCGUGCCAGCAGCCGCGGUAAUACGGAGGAUGCGAGCGUUAUCCGGUUUUAUUGGGUUUAAAGGGUGCGCAGGCGGUCUGUUAAGUCAGCGGUAAAAGCCCGGGGCCAAACCCCGGCCCGCCGUUGAAACUGGCAGUCUCGAGUUGGAGAGAAGUAUGCGGAAUGCGCGGUGUAGCGGUGAAAUGCAUAGAUAUCGCGCAGAACUCCGAUUGCGAAGGCAGCAUGCCGGCUCCACACUGACGCUGAGGCACGAAAGCGUGGGUAUCGAACAGGAUUAGAUACCCUUGUAGUC
RNAcentral lists this ribosomal RNA (459 nucleotides) under uncultured bacterium. Its description in RNAcentral is "partial 16S ribosomal RNA". It matches the Rfam family "Bacterial small subunit ribosomal RNA", at positions 338 to 795 of the family's 1533-position model. The record is from RNAcentral.